Molecule: long non-coding RNA, 4978 nt
Filed under: Macaca fascicularis (crab-eating macaque)
Lineage: Eukaryota; Metazoa; Chordata; Mammalia; Primates; Cercopithecidae
Description: lncRNA (ENSMFAG00000053680.1)
Source: RNAcentral
CAUUCUUUCCUGGCAGAGCCGAAGUCACAAUUUUUUUGUAGACUCUAAAGAGCUUUACCCUUCCGAGAUAUGAUCUUGAACCUGUUGGAGCAUUUGGACGCAUUUCUUUUAAGGAAGUUCACCUCCAGAUGUGCUCAGAGGGCCUGGUCUUAGCUGCCACAGAUUUACAAAUUCUUACAGACGCAAGGAUUGAGAACAAUGGACUUUUUGAUGUGUGUUGCAACAAACGCAUAGCCGAGGGUUGUAAAUCGGAGGGAUCACCAGGUCUGCCUACCAGCCACCAGGCAAGUGGGGAGAAGCUGUCACCCCAACUUGAGUUUCAAGAAGACUCCUUGGAAGAAAAGACCACCAAAUUGAGAAUGAAAAGGUAAGAAAUAGUUCACCAGCUGAGGGAGGCUACAGAGAGCAGGCCACCCAUGAGCCUCAGGGACAGCAGCACAGGCAGGUUGUCAAAGUCACAAGGGGACAUGAAGACACAGACCCAGGACAGCAGCCCUUAAUCCAAAAUGAUCUCAAGACUCCUUUACACUCUGAAAAAUUAACCCAUUUAUGCCUGAGGUUACAAUUUUUUUUGUAAAAAUCAGACCUUGGCAAUGACCUUGAGCUGUAGGAUAUAAAUGACUCCCACAAGCUUAGGAUUCCAAUAAUGGAACACUAGGCACAAUUGGGUUUUAAUGAGGACCCAAAUAGCUUUUGAUUAUGUGGGCUUUUUUUUUGCCUGUGUAGGUACCUGUGUGUGUUUAUAUAAUUUUUCUAUAUUCUAAAUUAAAAUUGAUUAAAAAAUUAAAGUAUUAAAAACUUUAUGCAUUAAGGUAAGCCAUCAUUACAUGUUAAUAUAAAUAUGUUUGAAAAAUACUUCUCAUAACAAAGUAAAACACUGACUACUUAGAGUGAUGCUGUGUUGCCUUUUUUGCAAAUCUCUGUAGUGUCUGGCUCAGAGGCGAAGCUGGACUCCCCCAUCUGCUCUGUAUCCAGCUUGCUGUGUGUCACACACCUCACCACGCAUCCUCUAGAAAGUACACCAUGUACUUGGGCAAGAAUGAGUAAAAAAGACAAUGUGUUGAUAGUGGUAUGAAAAUAGCUUUUCUCUCCCUGCAGAUCAUACACGGGGGUCGUCAGACAUGGUCUGAGACCUGCUGGGAAGAACAGCAGCCUGGCCCUGCUACCCCCUGGCUUCUGCUCACAGCACUGACCCCAGCUAAUCCAAGAACAUGUCACCUAUAAUGAGAAUAUUGAAGAAAAAUCAACCAUCUUCCAGAUGUGUCUAUAUCAUGAUACGGUACAUGGGUAAGGUAAGCUGAACACAACAUAAAAAAGAAAACUUACAAACGCUCCCUUCAUCUCAUUAAAGAUGACUCCUUUAAAGACCAAGGGCAUCUGGGGGUCGCUAGGAUUCUCAUGUUCCAGCCGCCAUCCUUCUUGCCUCAGGACAAAUAAUUAUAAGCUGACAGUGACUCAAACACUAAAGUCUGUAUCAACUAGUUAAUCACUUAUGACAUACCAGAAAUCCAGCUCACCUAAACCUGGGAAAAAGGUGGCAUCCAAAUACACUGAGAGGAGAUCCUGAAAGUCCUUGGGAUUUUGUGUGGAAAAUGCAUACAGAGUAUAAUCACUAGCUGGGUACAAAUGAAAAGUGAAAUUGUAAAAUUUAACAGAUUUCUACUAAAAUUAUUGAAUCUCAAGCCUCAUUUCCCCUUUGUCCUAGGACAGUAAGUUGUAGCUAUUCUUGAGAUGGGGCAGUGGCUCCAUGCUCUGGCCCCCGACCUCAGCAGCUGUCCCAGCUCAUCACCCUGAGUGCCAGCUUUCCCAUCUCAUCUCAGGAUCUGCACUGGACGGCACCAGGGCUUUCUUCAGCGAACAUCUAAACUCUCUCAAGUGUCUCCAGAGACUUUCACAUGUCUACAAAGAUGACCUCAUUCUGUAACAGCAUGGAUUUAACUUGCUCUUCGAUGUCACUCCUUCACAGAGUGCACUGUUCAUCGUCACCCUAUCCGCUAGCGUCAGUCUUACUAAAAGUCAAACAUCAAUGUUAGUGGUAACUCUGGAGGCCUGGCAUUGUAGUGAUAUCCCCAAGAGAAAAUUGUUUUGAACCUUUCUGGGAAAAGUUCAUGUACCUUUUAUUCAAACGCUAGUUUUUAUAAUCUCGCUACCAUGUGGCUUUCCUGAAGGAUGAAAUUUCUAAUGUCCUUCAGGUAGAGAGAGGUAAAAAGUAUUCUAGAACAUUAAUUGCCCACUCCUCUCAUCCCUUCUCAGAAACUAACUGAAUUCCAGUGGGUGUGCCUGGCAAACCCAAACACGGUUUUCCGUUCAGGAUGCUGGUCUUACCUGUGAAGGCGUUCAUGAACGUGGAGAGGUACCGGUUCAACAUUUUGAAGAAAGGGUCUCUGCAUGGGUAUUUCCGAGACCCACAAAGGAUGGUAUGCUCAAGAAUGUGAGGAACAUCGGUACUGUCCACGGGAGUGGUGCGGAACUGCACGCUAGGGAAGAAGGAACUGCACGCCAGGGAAGGGGGAGGAACAAGGAACAGAAGGCCAGCGACGGGGAGAAACAGAACGCUAGGGAAGGAGAAUGACUAGAAUACAAAACGUUCAUCUUAGUGCUGUGGACACAGUUCCCAGACGCAUCAUCACCUCGGGCUACUAGAAAUCAUUCUGACACCACAAUCCUCCAACCCAGGGUUUCCCAACUGUAAUGUAAAUCAUUGAUUCAGACUAUAAAAUUAUAUUUUGAUGAGAUUGUAAGUCCGUGUAAGCUUUUCCUUAUUUUUCAAGAUGCUCUGUCAAUAAAAAUACUAGUGAGAUGAUAUUUCAACCACGUAACAUACAGUCAGUGCUUUAAACCAAGCUUGUCUAACCCACAGCCUGCAGUCCGCAUGCUCAGGAUGGCUUGGAAUGCAUCCCAACACAAUCCCUACACUUUCUUAAAACAUUGAGGUCCUCUAUUUAUUUUUUUUUAGCUCAUCAACUGUCCUUAGUGUUAGUGUAUUUAGUGUGUGGCCUAAGACAGUUGUUCUUCUAAUGUGGCACAGGGAAGCCAAAAGAUUGGACAUCCUUGAUUUAAAUAAAACAUUCAAGACCAUGUUCUUACAAUGCACCACGUACCUGAACAGAUUGUUCGUGUCUUCUCUGGCCAGGUGUAAAUACCUGGCUCCUCUGUCAUCGUGGCUGAGCUUCAUGGCCGUCAGGAACAGCUCGGGAACAGAUGUCACCUGAGUUAACCAGAAAAACACGAGCAGUUAAAUGUAGACAAAAUAGCCGUGAAAUGGUGAUCUUCGACACACUGAGAAAACUGGCUUUUCUGCCUGAAAUUAGAUGAUACCGGGAAGCCAGUAUUUCAGAGCUGCAGAGAACAGAACCGUCCUGUCCAAGUCCCUUAUCCUACAAACAAGGAAAGUAAGACCUAAAGAAGGCAAAUGAGAAUGUGUGUGUAUAAAUGUAUAUUUUUGAGUGCUUAUUACUGGCUAGGUAUUUUCCAUUUUUUUUAUUUUUAAAUUUUUUAUUCUGUUUUGGCUAGGCAUUUUCUAAUCAUGUCACAUAGAAUCCUGUGAGGGAGGUAGUCUCAUCCUCAUUUACAGAUGAAAAAACUGAGGCUCAGGGUGAUGAAACAAGCUGCCCGAAUCAGAGCCAGGAUUCACCCUGGUGUCUGCCCUUCCCACGGUACUGUGCUGCACCUAAAUAACACAGCACCCUUUCCAACGCCUGCUGAGUGCCUCCUGCUUUUGUGUACUGCACCUCAGUAACACAGCACCCCUUCCAACAUCGGCUGUGUGCCUCCUGUUUCUGUGCAUAUAAUCUCCUGUAGUGCGAAGCACGGGCCUGCAGGAGGGGCAAUGCUGGAGUGGGCUACCGGCGACAGUGGGGAGAGGGUCCAGGAUCAGCCUUGCUUCUCCUAGUUUGGGAUGGAUUCUCGGUGGUAGCUGUAAGCACAAAGCUGGGGCUUCCAGAAGAGCUGGAGGGGCUGGGAGGAUAGAAAUGCCCCCCAAAAAGAUGAAAGACUCCCCACUCCUGGGGCAGGGUGGAAGGUCUUCUCCUACCUUAGGCAAGCCUCCUGGUAAGUGUCCAUACUCUUUGGUAUGAAAGAAACUGUCUUCUCUUCCAGUCAUGCCAGCCGACCCAGCCCUCUCCCUCAAUCACAUACCAUGUCCCUGUGAUCACCACAACACGUGCCACCCCCUCCGUCCAGGUGCCAUGAGUCACCUGGCCAAGCGCACACAGCAAGUCGCUGGCAGAGGUGAGACCUCGGGUCUCCUCAGCCCAAUCUAGGGAGCCUGCCAUCCAACAGUCAUGCAUAAAGCGGCCCACUAUGACCUGCAUCAUCUACCGCUGUUAAAUUACUUGUUUCCAAGCUUACCGUACUUUGUAUCAGAUGAUCAAUGCAUUUAAAAUCAGCAGAUACAGUGAGAUGUCUGCUUUCUAAUAAUAUAUAGCUUUAAUAAUAAUAGCGUUCAUGGUAGCUAUUUCUCAAACAAGAAACAUGACUUAUCGUAAGUUUCUAUGGCUGGACACAGUGGCUCACACCUUUAAUCCCAGCACUUUGGAAGGCCAAGGUGAUAUGGUUUGGCCUCGUCCCCACCCAAAUCUCAUCUUGAAUUGUAGUUCCCAUAAUCUCCACAUGUUGUGGGAGGGACCUGGUAGGAGGUAAUUGAAUCAUUAGGGGGGUUCCCCCAUGUUAUUCUCAUGACAGUGAGUAUGUUCUCACGAGAUCUGAUGGUUUUAUAAGGGGCUUCCCCCUUCACUUGUCAUUCUCUUCCAUACCACCCUGUGAAGAGGUGCCUUCCACCAUGAUUGUAAGUUUCCUGAGGCCUCCCCAGCCAUGCAGAACUGUGAGUCAAUUAAACCUCUUUACUUUUUAGCUCAUUCAUUAUAAAUUAUCCAGUCUUGGGUAUUUCUUCAUAGCAGUGUGAGAUUAGACUAAUACACAAGACAAGAGGAUUGCCUGAACUCAGGAGUUUGAGACCAGCCUAGACAACAAAGUUUCC